RNAcentral lists this long non-coding RNA (756 nucleotides) under Triticum aestivum (bread wheat). RNAcentral describes it as "long non-coding RNA (TAES_LNC024374)". The record is from RNAcentral. Lineage: Eukaryota; Viridiplantae; Streptophyta; Magnoliopsida; Poales; Poaceae.
UUAAAUUGGUAUUACUAAUAGCUUUCUUUCAGUUUUCUCUUCAAUUACAGCUUGUGGAAUUUGAGGAGAAUCUGUGCACCAGCAUCCGACUCCUUGAUGUUGCUCUGAUCAUAUUGUGUAAAUAUAUUUCUAAUAAAGCAAUCGCCCGAUGGUGUACAUAUUAGAAAUAACAAGAUGUAAUCAUCAAGUGUGAGAGAUGGCAACAUCAUGAUGGGAUGGUAUGUACUGUUGUGCUCAUCAAUAGGUUAGUCUUUCAUUCUCUUGCAGCCAGUAUGUUUUUUGUUAUGCAAACAAUUAGGAAAUAUCUAAUUUCUAUGGUUGGCAGGGGGAGCUCAAGGUCAUGGCGGGGCUUCGAUUUUUCUUGUAGAAAAGAGAGACAGAGGAGGAUCCAGGGAGGAGGAGAGGUAGGAGAAGAAGGACGGGGAAGUAGGAAGGGUGCAGUAGGGGUGAGUGUGCUUCCGCCUGCCAUGCCCAAGGCUUGAUCUGCCGCCGCCUCUCCUCUACCCAUGCUGUCUGUGACAUGUCAGAUCCCCAGCUGCCGGCACUUCUCCUCUGCCCAUGGGCCAUGGCUGUUCUGAUGCAUCAAAUCCGUAAGCUUCCAGUCGCAUCUCCAUCUCUUGCAGAUUGAUUUACAAUUGGGACCUCUAAUGAUGGUGCCGUCCCUAACAAAGACUGCAGAUCGAUCUGCUGUAACAUUGGCUGGGUGUUCUCUUCUCGACUCUACCAACACUCUGGAGUUACAAGCAAUUACAUCAG